AAAUGUUUGUAGUUAGUGCAUCAAAUUCAUCUCAUUCAUUCUCUCAUCAUUUGGAUCUCCUUAACAUAGAUUCAAAAAUCUUCUGACAGAUUAUAGCUAAAGCUAACACUCAAAAUCACAUGCCUACUGGCCCAUACUGUAGACAAAAUUGUAUAAUGAAGAAAUCUUGUCUGUGAGACAUGGAGACAUGAUUUUGGGCCAACGUCUCUGGAAAAGCUUUAUCAUGGGCAUGCCUUUAAAAUAUU
RNAcentral lists this unclassified non-coding RNA (245 nucleotides) under Hevea brasiliensis (rubber tree). Lineage: Eukaryota; Viridiplantae; Streptophyta; Magnoliopsida; Malpighiales; Euphorbiaceae. The record is from RNAcentral.